Molecule: ribosomal RNA, 492 nt
Filed under: uncultured bacterium
Lineage: Bacteria
Description: partial 16S ribosomal RNA
Rfam family: Bacterial small subunit ribosomal RNA
Source: RNAcentral
AGUGAACGCUGGCGGUAGGCCUAACACAUGCAAGUCGAACGGCAGCACAGUAAGCGCUUGCUCUUACGGGUGGCGAGUGGCGGACGGGUGAGGAAUACAUCGGAAUCUACUUUUUCGUGGGGGAUAACGUAGGGACACUUACGCUAAUACCGCAUACGACCUACGGGUGAAAGCAGGGGAUCUUCGCACCUUGCGCGAUUGAAUGAGCCGAUGUCGGAUUAGCUAGUUGGCGGGGUAAAGGCCCACCAAGGCGACGAUCCGUAGCUGGUCUGAGAGGAUGAUCAGCCACACUGGAACUGAGACACGGUCCAGACUCCUACGGGAGGCAGCAGUGGGGAAUAUUGGACAAUGGGCGCAAGCCUGAUCCAGCCAUACCGCGUGGGUGAAGAAGGCCUUCGGGUUGUAAAGCCCUUUUGUUGGGAAAGAAAAGCAGCAGGUUAAUACCCCGCUGUUCUGACGGUACCCAAAGAAUAAGCACCGGCUAACUUCGUG